Molecule: ribosomal RNA, 94 nt
Filed under: Salmonella enterica subsp. enterica serovar Enteritidis
Lineage: Bacteria; Pseudomonadati; Pseudomonadota; Gammaproteobacteria; Enterobacterales; Enterobacteriaceae
Description: partial 16S ribosomal RNA
Source: RNAcentral
UUAAAUUGAAGAGUUUGAUCAUGGCUCAGAUUGAACGCUGUCGGCAGGCCUAACACAUUCAAGUCGAACUGUAACAGGAAGAAGCUUGCUGAUU